UCUCUGGUGGCUCAGAUGGUAAAGCAUCUGCCUGCAAUGCAGGAGACCCAGGUUCGAUCCCUGGGUUGGGAA
Molecule: transfer RNA, 72 nt
Filed under: Capra hircus (goat)
Lineage: Eukaryota; Metazoa; Chordata; Mammalia; Artiodactyla; Bovidae
Also listed under: 1 other name
Rfam family: tRNA
About the family: Transfer RNA (tRNA) molecules are approximately 80 nucleotides in length. Their secondary structure includes four short double-helical elements and three loops (D, anti-codon, and T loops). Further hydrogen bonds mediate the characteristic L-shaped molecular structure. tRNAs have two regions of fundamental functional importance: the anti-codon, which is responsible for specific mRNA codon recognition, and the 3' end, to which the tRNAs corresponding amino acid is attached (by aminoacyl-tRNA synthetases). tRNAs cope with the degeneracy of the genetic code in two manners: having more than one tRNA (with a specific anti-codon) for a particular amino acid; and 'wobble' base-pairing, i.e. permitting non-standard base-pairing at the 3rd anti-codon position.
Source: Rfam by way of RNAcentral